RNAcentral lists this ribosomal RNA (565 nucleotides) under uncultured Lachnospiraceae bacterium. Its description in RNAcentral is "bacterial SSU rRNA". It matches the Rfam family "Bacterial small subunit ribosomal RNA", at positions 140 to 723 of the family's 1533-position model. Lineage: Bacteria; Bacillati; Bacillota; Clostridia; Lachnospirales; Lachnospiraceae. The record is from RNAcentral.
GGGAUAACAGUUAGAGAUGGCUGCUAAUACCGCAUAAGCGCACAGGACCGCAUGGUCUGGUGUGAAAAACUCCGGUGGUAUGAGAUGGACCCGCGUCUGAUUAGCUAGUUGGAGGGGUAACGGCCCACCAAGGCAACGAUCAGUAGCCGGCCUGAGAGGGUGAACGGCCACAUUGGGACUGAGACACGGCCCAGACUCCUACGGGAGGCAGCAGUGGGGAAUGUUGCACAAUGGGGGAAACCCUGAUGCAGCGACGCCGCGUGAAGGAAGAAGUAUCUCGGUAUGUAAACUUCUAUCAGCAGGGAAGAAAAUGACGGUACCUGACUAAGAAGCCCCGGCUAACUACGUGCCAGCAGCCGCGGUAAUACGUAGGGGGCAAGCGUUAUCCGGAUUUACUGGGUGUAAAGGGAGCGUAGACGGAAGAGCAAGUCUGAUGUGAAAGGCUGGGGCUUAACCCCAGGACUGCAUUGGAAACUGUUUUUCUAGAGUGCCGGAGAGGUAAGCGGAAUUCCUAGUGUAGCGGUGAAAUGCGUAGAUAUUAGGAGGAACACCAGUGGCGAAGGCG